GUGUGUAGGUGGCGCGCUAAGUUCCGUGUGAAAUCUCCCGGCUCAACCGGGAGGGUGCGCGGAAAACUGGCAGGCUAGAGUACGGGAUGGGAGAGUAGAAUUCCUGGUGUAGCGGUGAAAUGCGUAGAUAUCAGGAGGAAUACCGGUGGUGUAGACGGCUCUCUGGACCGUAACUGACACUGAAACACGAAAGCGUGGGUAGCAAACAGGAUUAGAUACCCUGGUAGUCCACGCCCUAAACGAUGCAUAUUUGGUGUAGGUCAUUCAGUUGAUCUGUGCCGGAGCUAACGCGUUAAAUAUGCCGCCUGGGGAGUACAGUCGCAAGGCUGAAACUCAAAGGAAUUGACGGGGGCCCGCACAAGCGGUGGAGCAUGUGGUUCAAUUCGACGCAACGCGAAGAACCUUACCUGGGCUCGAACGGCUAGUCAACGAUCGUGGAAACACGGUUACUCCGCAAGGGGGUCUAGUCGAGGUGCUGCAUGGCUGUCGUCAGCUCGUGUCGUGAGAUGUUGGGUUAAGUCCCGCAACGAGCGCAACCCUUGUCCUGUGUU
This 551-nucleotide ribosomal RNA is filed under the name uncultured bacterium. Its description in RNAcentral is "bacterial SSU rRNA". It matches the Rfam family "Bacterial small subunit ribosomal RNA", at positions 567 to 1116 of the family's 1533-position model. The record is from RNAcentral.